GUGUCAGCAGCCGCGGUAAUACAGAGGUGGCAAGCGUUGUUCGGAAUUACUGGGCGUAAAGGGCGCGUAGGCGGUUUCGUAAGUCCCGCGUGAAAGCCCCCGGCUCAACUGGGGAAUGGCACGGGAAACUGCGAGGCUUGAGUUCGGGAGAGGGAAGCGGAAUUCCGGGUGUAGCGGUGAAAUGCGUAGAUAUCCGGAGGAACACCAGUGGCGAAGGCGGCUUCCUGGACCGACACUGACGCUGAGGCGCGAAAGCUAGGGGAGCAAACGGGAUUAGAUACCCCCGUAGUCC
This 292-nucleotide ribosomal RNA is filed under the name uncultured bacterium. RNAcentral describes it as "partial 16S ribosomal RNA". It matches the Rfam family "Bacterial small subunit ribosomal RNA", at positions 505 to 796 of the family's 1533-position model. The record is from RNAcentral.